UGUCCCUGACCUGGGUAGAGUGGCAUCAAGUUGGUGGUGCUCAUCUCACACCAGCCAGGGGCAAAACAACCCCUUGUUUACUCCAGCAUGGCUUUGGUCUAUCCCCAUGCCUGGUUCAUGCCUUGGACACAUGG
Molecule: small nucleolar RNA, 134 nt
Filed under: Castor canadensis (American beaver)
Lineage: Eukaryota; Metazoa; Chordata; Mammalia; Rodentia; Castoridae
Description: Small nucleolar RNA SNORA48 (ENSCCNG00000022963.1)
Rfam family: Small nucleolar RNA SNORA48
About the family: The snoRNA ACA 48 has been identified to guide pseudouridylation of the residue U3797 in the 28S rRNA subunit. Its host gene EIF4A1 (eukaryotic translation initiation factor 4A1) is shared with U67 and snoRNA mgU6-77
Source: Rfam by way of RNAcentral